RNAcentral lists this ribosomal RNA (301 nucleotides) under uncultured bacterium. RNAcentral describes it as "partial 16S ribosomal RNA". It matches the Rfam family "Bacterial small subunit ribosomal RNA", at positions 509 to 807 of the family's 1533-position model. The record is from RNAcentral.
CAGUAGCCGCGGUAAUACGUAGGGUGCGAGCGUUAAUCGGAAUUACUGGGCGUAAAGCGUGCGCAGGCGGUUCGUUAAGACAGAUGUGAAAUCCCCGGGCUUAACCUGGGAACUGCAUUUGUGACUGACGGGCUAGAGUAUGGCAGAGGGGGGUAGAAUUCCACGUGUAGUAGUGAAAUGCGUAGAGAUGUGGAGGAAUACCGAUGGCGAAGGCAGCCCCCUGGGCCAAUACUGACGCUCAUGCACGAAAGCGUGGGGAGCAAACAGGAUUAGAUACCCCCGUAGUCCCUGUCUCUUAUAC